Molecule: transfer RNA, 73 nt
Filed under: Melampsora larici-populina 98AG31
Lineage: Eukaryota; Fungi; Basidiomycota; Pucciniomycetes; Pucciniales; Melampsoraceae
Description: tRNA-Ala (TGC) (tRNA-Ala-TGC-1-1)
Rfam family: tRNA
About the family: Transfer RNA (tRNA) molecules are approximately 80 nucleotides in length. Their secondary structure includes four short double-helical elements and three loops (D, anti-codon, and T loops).
Source: RNAcentral
GGGAGAAUAGUGUAGUGGCUAUCACGCUUCAUUUGCAUUGAAGAGGUCCCGGGUUCAAUCCCCGGUUCUUCCA